Molecule: microRNA precursor, 119 nt
Filed under: Brassica rapa (field mustard)
Lineage: Eukaryota; Viridiplantae; Streptophyta; Magnoliopsida; Brassicales; Brassicaceae
Also listed under: 1 other name
Description: miR172a stem-loop (bra-MIR172a)
Gene: bra-MIR172a
Rfam family: mir-172 microRNA precursor family
About the family: mir-172 has been experimentally verified in Arabidopsis thaliana. This family is thought to target mRNAs coding for APETALA2-like transcription factors.
Source: miRBase by way of RNAcentral
CGUUUUUUGUAGGCGCAGCACCAUCAAGAUUCACAUGGAAAUUGAAAAAUCUCCUAAUUUUUAAUUAGGGUUUUGAUAUGUAUAUGAGAAUCUUGAUGAUGCUGCAUCAACAACCGACG